UAUAAGUAAGUGUAUAGGCAUAACAAAUUUUGAUUUUGUUGGGUAUAGUGUAAUUCUAUUAUUUAUAA
Molecule: transfer RNA, 68 nt
Filed under: Allonychiurus kimi
Lineage: Eukaryota; Metazoa; Arthropoda; Collembola; Poduromorpha; Onychiuridae
Description: tRNA-Gln
Source: RNAcentral